UAUUAAGUAACUUAAAAAGUAAUAAUUUUUUAAAUUAUAAAUGAUAUUAAAUAUUAUAUCCUUAAUUA
RNAcentral lists this transfer RNA (68 nucleotides) under Platygaster sp. ZJUH_2016029. Its description in RNAcentral is "tRNA-Lys". The record is from RNAcentral. Lineage: Eukaryota; Metazoa; Arthropoda; Insecta; Hymenoptera; Platygastridae.